GAAUGAUUUUUACGAGCAUUCUUGCUGCCAUCAAUUCAUCCUCUGCAUCGUUAUCAUCUCACUGGUGUCACCUAUAUCGACGUCUUUUGUGUGGCUAUUCUUUAUGCAUUACACAUUCUUAUCCUAAAUUCCUAAUCUCUUCAUGUCUUUGCCUUUCAUUCUACUUUGAACUGAUCCAUUUCUAUACAAAAACAAACCCAACUCCACACUAAGAAAAAUCAUGGAAUUGGCUCAAGAUGUUGUGAUAAUAGGAGCUGGAAUUGCUGGACUUACUACAUCCUUGGGUCUUCAUAGGUUUUGAAUCCAACUUUUUAAAUUUUUAUUAAAUUUAUAUUUUUAGAUUUUACUAAUUUAUUGCAUUCUUAAUUACUUUUUAGGCUUGGAAUUAAAAGCUUAGUACUGGAAUCCUCUUCUGAUUUGAGGAUUACUGGAUUUGCUUUGUCUAUCUGGACCAAUGCUUGGAAGGCUUUAGAUGCUAUUGGUAUUGGUGAUUAUCUCCGGAAUCAACAUGAACGAAUUGAUGGGGUAAUUGCAACCUCAACAAUCACAGGCCAAAUGGGUGCACAAGUGUUCUGUAAGAACAAAGGGAAGCAUGGAGAGCAUGAGGUUCGUUGUGUGAAGAGGAAAUUGUUGCUAGAAGCCCUUGCACAUGAACUCCCUCAUGGUACUAUAAGGUUCUCCUCCAAAGUGGUUUCUAUUGACCAAUCAGGUUACUUAAAGCUAGUCUAUCUUGAUGAUGGUACCAUUAUCAAAACCAAGGUGUUAAUCGGGUGUGAUGGGGUGAACUCAGUGGUGGCGAAAUGGCUUGACUUCAACGAACCAGUUUUUACGGGUAGAUUAGCGAUAAGGGCAUAUGCUAAUUUUGAAGGCGGCCAUGGAUAUGGUCCUAAUUUUUUCCAGUUCUUUGGUAAUGGUUUCCGUUCAGGUUUCCUCCCCUCUGAUGAUACUUCUAUGUAUUGGUUUUUCUCUUGGUCUCCCAAUACCUCAGGUAAUAACCAUGUAUUUAAUGGUAAAAAUUUAUUUACGCUUAUUCACAAAUUUAAAAUAUAAAUAUAUAUAUUUUAUUUAUUUUACAUGUAUAUUCCACUUUAUAUAUUUCAUCUUGAAUUUACGAUAAAUUAGAUAAGAAUCACUUCUCUAAAUUCAAAUAUUUUCACAUUUUAAAAUUAACUUGACAAUCUGAGUACACAAUGGUUAAUUAUUUUUUGUGAAAAUUAAAGGCACUAAAUAUGUAAUUAUUCUACUUUCUAACCCUUGAACAAUAUUAAACAGGAUAAAUGGAACAAAGAGCAUAUAAAACAAAAAUACAGAAACUAAGUAAUUUAUUUAUUUUUUAAAUAAGAAGACCAAAUAUUUAGUUUAGUUAAAAUAAAAGUAAUGAAUAAUAAUUUUCUAUUUUUUUAUUACAAUUGAUUUUCACUGGACUGAACUCAAAAUCUCAAAACCUUCAUUAUUAUUUGUUAGAACUCAUUGCUGACAAGGGUUAAUUAUUAAUUAUUUUUCACCAUUAUCUCGCUGUUGUGCAAAUCCUAUGUAGACAAAAAGCCAGAGGAGAACCCAGCCAAGUUGAAGCAAUUUGUACUCAGCAAACUUGAAAAUGCAGCUGAUAAACACAUGAGGACAAUAGUAGAAGCAACUGAGCUGGAUAAUAUUGUAUGUAAUCCUCUGAGAUAUAGACAUCCAUGGGAGAUGCUAAGGGGAAAUGUAAGCAAAGGCAAUGUGUGUGUAGCUGGAGAUGCUCUCCAUCCCAUGACGCCAGAUAUCGGCCAAGGUGGUUGUGCUGCCUUGGAAGACGGCGUAGUUUUAGCUAGGUGCCUAGCUGAGGCAUUGAAGAAACAAGUAAUUGUAGAAAAUGAAGAGAGAGACAAGGAAGAAUGUAAGAGGAUUGAAGUUGGGUUGAAAAAAUAUGCAGCAGAGAGGAGAUGGAGAAGCUUUGAGCUCAUAACUACAUCUUCUUUGGUUGGAUUUAUACAGCAAAGUGAUAGCAAGUUAUUGAACUUCUUCAGGGAUAGAAUUUUGGUUAAAUUUCUUGCUAGGUUGCUAUUGAAGAGAUCUGAUUUUGACUGUGGAAAGCUCAACAAUAUUUCUUCAGCUUAGGCUUUCAAUUGUUUCGCAGAAACUAACUUGUAUAAAAUUAUUUUCUAACAAAAUAUUUUUUAUUUAAUUAGAAUGUUGUAUUAAUAGUAUGUAUUUAUAUUAUGUAUGUAUAAAUAUUUUAAC
RNAcentral lists this unclassified non-coding RNA (2220 nucleotides) under Hevea brasiliensis (rubber tree). The record is from RNAcentral. Lineage: Eukaryota; Viridiplantae; Streptophyta; Magnoliopsida; Malpighiales; Euphorbiaceae.